Molecule: ribosomal RNA, 465 nt
Filed under: uncultured bacterium
Lineage: Bacteria
Description: partial 16S ribosomal RNA
Rfam family: Bacterial small subunit ribosomal RNA
Source: RNAcentral
GACGAACGCUGGCGGCGUGCUUAACACAUGCAAGUCGAACGGAAAGGCCCUGCUUGCAGGGUACUCGAGUGGCGAACGGGUGAGUAACACGUGGGUGAUCUGCCCUGCACUUCGGGAUAAGCCUGGGAAACUGGGUCUAAUACCGGAUAGGAGCCAUUUUUAGUGUGAUGGUUGGAAAGUUUUUUCGGUGUAGGAUGAGCUCGCGGCCUAUCAGCUUGUUGGUGGGGUAAUGGCCUACCAAGGCGGCGACGGGUAGCCGGCCUGGGAGGGUGGACGGCCACAUUGGGACUGAGAUACGGCCCAGACUCCUACGGGAGGCAGCAGUGGGGAAUAUUGCACAAUGGGCGCAAGCCUGAUGCAGCGACGCCGCGUGGGGGAUGACGGCCUUCGGGUUGUAAACUCCUUUCGCUGGGGACGAAGCUUUUUGUGACGGUACCUAGAUAAGAAGCACCGGCUAACUACGUG